UUAUCCCCAUUUUACAGAUGAAGAAACUGAGGCUGAGUUUAAGUGACUUGUAUAGAGUCACACAGUGAAGGGUAUAUCUGAGGUAAGAUUUGCACUCAGGUCUUCCCAAUUCCAAUUCAUGUCAUUUACCACUAGUCUGGCAGCAUGAAAGAUAGAGUGCCAGGCCUGCAUUCAGACUUAUUUUCCUGAGUUCAAAUCCAGCCUCAGCCAUUUAGUAGCUGUGCUACCCUGGGAGAAUCACUUAACUCUGUUUGCCUUACUUUCCUAAUCUGUAAAAUGAUCUAAAGAAAGCUACGAUAAAUCACUCCAAUAUCUUGGCUAAGAAAACCAAAUAAGGUCCCAGAGAGUUGAAAAAUGACUAAACAACAACCAAAAUCCACUGUUCCAUCCUGUUGUCAAUCAUCUAGUGCAUUACCUUCCCUUUCUGUUUUGUUCACUUAAAUGUUUGCCUUACUUUCUUAAUCCAUAAAAUGAUCUAGAGAAAGAAAAAAUAAAUCACUCCAAUAUCUUGGCUAAGAAAACCAAAUGGGGUCCCAGAAAGUUGAAAAAUGACUAAACAACAACUCAAAUCUACUGUUCCAUCAAUCAUCUAGUGCAUUACCUUCCCUUUCUGUUUUGUUCACUUAAAUGUUUGCCUUACUUUCCUAAUCCGUAAAAUGAUCUAGAGAAAGAAGUAAUAAAUAAAUCACUCCAGUAUCUUGGCUGAGAAAACCAAAUGGGGUCUCCCAUUUGCAAAUGAAAUAUCUGUACCUUUAUUCAAAUCAUGAUCAAAAGGUGAAAUGACAAUUGGCCAAGGAAGACGCCUCCUUGGAUGAUGACUCUUAACUCCCUUGCCAUCACUUCCUCCCCACUCCAUCGGGUUCUAAUUCGAGAUGUGCAGUAUUGGGUUCAAACGGCUCCAUCUUUUCUACAAAGAUGGCAUAACUCCUCUCAGUUAAUGGCACUCUCCCCAUUAUCCUAGUCUACUAUGCCAAAAAAGGAAAUGAGGUUAAUCUGGGCAUGACCCAUGCUUAAUAAAGCCAAGCUGACACUCUAUUAUCACUGCUUCCUUUUCUAGAUGUUCAGUAACCGUCCCUUUAAUAGUCUGUUCUGGAAUUUUGUCAAGAAUCAAAGUCCAGCUCACUGCCUGCUCCUUUGCCUUUUUUGAAACUGAAGACAGCAUUUGUCCUUCUUCCAUCCCGUGACAACUCUCCAAGGUCUUUCAAAGGGCACUGAUAGCGGCUCCACUAUACCUGCCAAUUUUCUCAGUAUAGUUUUUUGGGUCUGUGACCUGAAUUUCUUGAGGGCAGCUGGGCGCUCUCUUGCACUCUAUUUAUUUUAGCUUCCAGUUGCUUCAUGGCCAUUUUUAUUCUCCCUCUCCCAUCCAGAGUCCACCCCAUCCUCCCACCCCUGGAAGUCUUAUCUCUUCUUUAUCUUCCUCUUUUCUCCAAAAUAGAAUUAAAAAAACAAACCACCAAAAUCCUUUUUGGGUAUCCUUGGCAUUUCUUAUGAGCCACAGCUCAAUCUGAGCUAUGUCCCAUCUGUCCCUAUCGUUCUAGGGAGUACCACCAAGUGGCAACCAUCCUCUACUGACCAAGCUUGUUCCAGUUUGGGACAGUACAAGGGAUAGUGUGAUCUAGUGGACAGAGUCAAGUGAAUAUCAGAUAGAUCCGGCUGGGUAACCACAGGCUAAUAACAACUUCUCAAAAGCCCAGACAACUCUGUGAUAUUUAUGAGGGGAGGGAAGAGGGGAGGGAAGGGGAGAGGGCUGGAUUCUGCCUUGGGCUAAGGCAAGCCCGCCUCAUUCUUUCCUCUGCCCCUGCCGGACUCCCAGGAGUCUUUUUUGGGGUCAAGGAAGAAGCCCCUCUCAGACCUCGUCAUCCAACCUCACACUUCCCUGUCAGGACAGGGUUACAGGACACUAAUCAUCAUUUGGAAGUCUACAUCCCUUCCUUAAUGGGAGAUUGAGGGCCCCCCUCCUGUCAGUGAGUAUUCAGGACCUCUUUCCUUUAUCUCCUGGGGUAGGGAAGGGAGGGACCCAACUGGGAAGGGAUGAGUAGGAUGAAGAAUUAUUCCCCCCCUUCCCCAGGGCCAGUCCUGGAAGCUCUGACAGUCACACCAAACCGGCCUGGCAACAGCCUCCCUGCUGGGCUCGGCCGCUUUUGGCCUUCCAUCUCCUUAUAAAGCAGCUGCCCUGGUGCUUUUUUCUCUUAGCACAGUUUAAUUUUAUACAGAGCAAAGGCACUCUUCAGUCCCUUCUGCCUCACCCUGCCCCGCUGAAUACAUUCCUCCCAGAUCAACAUUACCUAAUUUAACCAUGGUCCCCGAGCCCUGGGCUCUCUCAAAAUAGCAGCUGCCAAGGGGGGAAAAUACCCUAAUGUUAUCAAAAUAAACAAUCUCCCCACUCCCUGGCCUGCCCUUAGUCUGCCUGGCCUGGCUUGGGAGGAGGCCCCAGGGCCCUAAUUUGAGGGGAACCAAGAAGAAAACUCAAGUCCUGUUUCCUACAUCUUUCCUCGUUCUUCUGCCGCCAUUCCUGGGGCACUAUGUUCCUUCCAGUCACUCAGGUUUAUAAGUGAGGUCUCUAGAACCAGGACAACAACACAGCAACAAGAUUAUGCGAUGAUCAACUCUGAUGGACAUGGGUCUUUUCAACAAUAAGGUGAUUCAGGCCAUUUCCAAUAGACUUGGAAUGGAGAAGACUAUGGGGACUGAAUGUGGAUCACAAUGUACUAUUUUCACUUUAUUUUUUGUUAUUUACUUGAUUUUUGUUUUCUUUCUCAUUUUUUUCCUUUUUAAUCUGAUUUUUCUUGGGCAGCAUGAUAAUUUUGGAAAUAUGUAUAGAAGAAUUGCAUGUAUUUAACAUAUAUUGGAUUACUUGCUAUCUAAAUGAAGGGGUGAGGGAAGAGAGGGAGAAAAAAAUUGGAACUCAAGAUUUUGCAAGGGUGAAUGUUGAAAAGUAUGCAUAUAUGAAAUGAUCAACAGGAUGAAUACAGAGAGGACUGGCGAGACUUACAUGAACUGAUGCUAAGUGAAAUGAGCAGAACCAGGAGAUCAUUAUAUACCUCAACAAUGAUACUGUUUGAGGAUGUAUUCUGAUGGAAGUGGAUCUCUUCGAUAAAGAGAACUAAUUCAGUUUCAAUUGAUCAAGGAUGGACAGAAGCAGCUACACCCAAAGAAAGAACACUGGGAAAUGAAUAUAAACUGCUUGCAUUUCUGUUUUUCUUCUCGGGUUAUUUAUACCUUCUGAAUCCAAUUCUCCCUGUGCAACAAGAGAACUGUUCAGUUCUGCACACAUAUAUUGUAUCUAAGAUAUACUGUAACCUAUUUAACAUGUAAAGGACUGCUUGCCAUCUGGGGGAGGGGGUGGAGGGAGGGAGGGGAAAAAUCGGAACAGAAGUGAGUGCAAGGGAUAAUGCUGUAAAAAAUUACCCCUGUCAAUAAAAAGUUAUUUAAAAAAAAGAAAAGUAUGCAUAUAUGUUGUGUAUUUUUUUAAUAUGAAGGGAUAUCAUUUUUACUAAAGCUUUUUAUUUUCAAAACAUAUACACAGAUAAUUUCCAGCAUUCACUCUUGCAAAAUCUUUCCCUUCAUAUUCAAAAAUAACAAAAACCCCCAAAACAUAUACAUAAUUUUAAACAUUCAUCUUUGUAAAAUCUUGUGUUCCAACUUUUUUCCUCCCUCCCUUUUCUCUAUCCCCUCCUCUAGAUGGCAACUAAUCCAAUAUGUGUUAAACACGUGCAACACUUCCAUACAUAAUUCCACAAUUAUCAUGUGCAUAUAUUUUGAAAAGAAAAAGAAAAAUAUAAGUGUAGUCUCAUCCCUUCCUCUUCCUACUACUCUGCCCCUCGGAUCUCAUCAGCUGCCAGUUCCUGUGGCUUUUACUAAAGUAGGUGGGUGUUGUGAUCUGACGGCUGGAGGACCCAAAUUUGAAUCCUCUCUCAGACACUAUCAGUCCUACCCUGCACAAGUGACAAUUGCCUGGUUUAUUUAUGGUACCUUUCCUACUGUCUACAGACACAAGCCUCCCCAUGUGUAAAAACAAACAAAAUCCCAUCACUCUGCAAUACUUCUCCCAUCUCAGCUACAUCCUUUGAAAAAGCUGUCUAAAACAAUUCUGAAAGACUUAAAAACAAUGAUCAAUGAAACAGAUAAGUUUCCUUAUCUGGAAAAUGAAGAUGAUAAUGACAUCUCUUCCCCAGGAGGGUGGUGAGGAUGAAAUGAGAUUGGAUAUUGCAAUAAAAUGAGAUCAUAUAUUGCAAACUUUGUGGAAUUGAGGGAAGGGACUGGUCCACUCUUGGUUUAUGUUCUCUAGCUCCGAGCUUGGUACAAAGAGCCUGGGACUAAGCAGGACGGGACGGCACCUGUGGAUGCCUGAUAGUUUCCUCUGAUUCUUUCCCAGACGUUAAUGACUUCGGCAGCAGGCCUAAAGGCUUCCUGCUUACAAACAAGACAACAAUAUAGAAAGGAACGACCCCUUCCCUAUAGCCAGGCCCCAGACAAUGGAGGAUGUCCCUAAGGUCCUCCCCACCAGGAACACACUCCUCAUUACUCUAUCUAUUCAAACUAACUUAGAAUCAGAGAAAUUAGACCUAGUAAUGUCCUUACAGAUUAGUGAGUCCAUCCUUCUGAUUUUACAGAUGAGGAAACUGAGGGUCACAAAGUGCAAAUAUUUUGCCCAAGAUCACAUCAUUUAUGGAUGGAUGGGCGUGGGUGGUACUCCCAUCAGAUCCUGACUCAGCUUCAAGGCCCCUUUGAUGAGACAGCUUGGAACAAUAGAAAUGGCUCUGGUCUGGCAUUGUCGAGACUUGGGUUCCAAUUCCAUUUGAGACUAUAGUUUAUAAAGAACUUACUUUCCUUGAGACCCACAGAGAAAGUGACUUCUGAAUUAAAAUACAUAUUUGAAGGUCCCACCCAGCUCUGACAUCUUCUGCCCUAGGGUCCGUUCCAGCUCGGACAUUCUUUAAGAGCUUACGUGUCUGAAUUUAACCUAGUAGAAUGCUGACUAAAUACAGAUCGAACUUAAAAUAAGCUGAUACUUCUUAACUCCUAAAGAAAGCUUGUAACUAAACCCAAGAAGGAAUACAAUUUAUCACCCAGGGGAAACAAAAUCCCGCAGGAGAAAUCUGAGAUGGGAUAGGCUGGGAUUGGGGCAAGAGGGUAGAGGAAUAGCCAGAAAAAAGUGGGGCCAGACAUGCAAUUUAAGGCAGCCCCCAGACAGUCGAGAGGACCAGGUCCUCUAGCACGCCAUUCUCCCAGUAGGGUCCUCCUUCCACCUGUUCAGGGUCUAGUCAUGCUCUAUGGCCCAGCUAACGUCCUGUCUCCUCCAGAAUCCCCAGGCUCCCUCUCUUCAGAAUUCCUGUUGCAUGAAGGCAUCUCCACUCCACAAUCAAACUUCACACCCAUUCUCCCCUAUGGCCCCUCAAAUCCCAUGCUCUUCCAGACUUCCUCAAUUUGGUCAAGGGUACCACCAUCCUUCCAGGCCCCCGGGGAUCUCAAGCCCAGUUCUCCUCAGAUUGCUCACUCUCCCUCAUGCCAUAAGUCUUGUCUUUUCUCCACAACAUCUGCACAUUGGUCCCCUUCUCUCCGUGGACAGACAAGUUCCUGCUUCAGACCCUUCCCACCUCUCACAGGAAACAAUGGCCUCCUGAAGGGGAUCAGUGCUUUAGCUUUACCAUUACAAUCCAUCCUCCUUACAGCUGCCAAAGUGGUUUUUCUAAAUUACUGGCGAUCUAACUCCAGCACUUCCAUCAUACACAGUAAGUGGUCAGUCUCCAGUGACUACUGUCACCCUAAGGAUGGAAUAGCUAUGCCUUUGUUUGGCAUUUCAAAAUCUUCACAAUCUGGUCUCACUCUACCUAUUCAGUCUUAUUAUCCACAACUCUGCCCUCUUUAGUCCAACCAAGCCAGACUUCUCUCUGUUCACAUCUCCCUUCCUCUUUCUCUUCACUUUUUCUUCUCUCUCUUUCUCCCUCCCCCUCUUCUCUCUUUCUUUCUCUUUUCUCUCUUUCCCGUCUUCUUUUUCUCUUCUCUUUCACUUUCUCUUCUUUUUCUUUUUUCUCUUUUACACACACACACACACACAAACACACACUCUCUUGGUGCUUCAUCUCCCAACUAUUUGCUUUUGUCCUGGCUGUAUCCUGCAUGCCUUUUUCCAUCUUAGAUUAAGGGAUUUAAAUUCCCUGGUUCCUUUAAGGCCCAGCUCAAAUAUCAACCCUUAAAUGAAGCCUUUACUCAUUUCUCCAGGUACUCAUUCUCUGUUCUCGAAAUGUCAUAUAUUAUAUAUACUUAUAAGAGUAUAUGUGAUACUUUAACAUAUUUAACAUGUAUUGGUCAACCUGCCAUUGGCGGGGAGGGGGUGGGGGGAAGGAGGGGAAAAAUUGGAACAAAAGGUUUGGCAAUUGUCAAUGCUGUAAAAUUACCCAUGCAUGUAACUUAUAAAUAAAAAGCUAUAAUAAAAAAAUAAAAACUAAAAAACUAAAAUAAAAAAAAUAGAAAAAUAUAUUUAACUGAAAAAAAAAGAGUAUAUGUGAAUGCCCCAAAGAACAUAAACUCCUUGCCCUUUUGCUUUUGAAUUGACAUCACUUAGCACAAUGCCUGGUAUAUAAGUGCUUGAUAAGUGCUUGUUGAUUAACUG
Molecule: long non-coding RNA, 6613 nt
Organism: Antechinus flavipes (yellow-footed antechinus)
Lineage: Eukaryota; Metazoa; Chordata; Mammalia; Dasyuromorphia; Dasyuridae
Exons: 2
Source: RefSeq, a predicted model, not a curated record